Molecule: non-coding RNA, 84 nt
Organism: Trichonephila clavipes
Lineage: Eukaryota; Metazoa; Arthropoda; Arachnida; Araneae; Nephilidae
Source: the annotation of a GenBank genome assembly
GUCAAGAUUCCCGAGCGGUCUAAAGCGCUGCGUUCAGGUCGCAGUACAAUUCUGCGGGAUUGGGUUCGAAUCCCAUUUUUGACA